This 200-nucleotide ribosomal RNA is filed under the name uncultured bacterium. RNAcentral describes it as "partial 16S ribosomal RNA". It matches the Rfam family "Bacterial small subunit ribosomal RNA", at positions 30 to 228 of the family's 1533-position model. The record is from RNAcentral.
AUUGAACGCUGGCGGCAUGCCUUACACAUGCAAGUCGAACGGCAGCACGGGAGCAAUCCUGGUGGCGAGUGGCGAACGGGUGAGUAAUACAUCGGAACGUGCCCAAUCGGUGGGGGAUAACGCAGCGAAAGCUGUGCUAAUACCGCAUAAGAUCUACGGAUGAAAGCGAGGGGACCGCAAGGCCUUGCGCGAAUGGAGCC